CUAUAGCUCAGCUGGUUAGAGCGCACGCCUGAUAAGCGUGAGGUCGAUGGUUCAAGUCCAUUUAGGCCCAUUCAAAGUGAAAGCUUUGAUAAAAGGCAAUGAUGGGGGCUUAGCUCAGAUGGGAGAGCGCCUGCUUUGCACGCAGGAGGUCAUCGGUUCGAUCCCGUUAGCCUCCAUUGAGACCUUGUGUCUCAAGGGUUAGUACAUUGAAAACUGAAUAUAAUCUAAAGCAAAAAACCGAGACAAUCGAAAAAACAGAUUGAAGAGCGACCGAGAAGAGAGAGAAACUCAACUUGAAAUAGGUCAAGUAGAAAAGGGCGCAUGGUGAAUGCCUAGGCACUAGAAGCCGAUGAAGGACGUGACGAACCACGAAAGGCUUCGGGGAGCAGUAAGUAAGCGAUGAUCCGGAGAUAUCCGAAUGGGGGAACCCAAUACCGCGAGGUAUUAUCAAGAGCUGUUAAGGCUGUUGAAGGAAGACGCAGUGAACUGAAACAUCUAAGUAGCUGCAGGAAGAGAAAGAAAAAUCGAUUUCCCAAGUAGCGGCGAGCGAACAGGAAAGAGCCCAAACCAGCUGGCUUGCCAGUUGGGGUAGUAGGACUGCAAUAAAGUACUUGAAGCGAUAGCAGAAUUAUCUGGAAAGAUAAGCCAGAGAGGGUGAGAGCCCCGUAAGCGAAAUUGCAGAGAGACUUAGCAGGAUCCUGAGUAGGUCGGGACACGAGGAAUCCCGAUGAAACCGCGAGGACCAUCUCGCAAGGCUAAAUACUAACUAGUGACCGAUAGUGAACCAGUACCGUGAGGGAAAGGAAUCAUCU
RNAcentral lists this small RNA (812 nucleotides) under Lactobacillus gasseri. RNAcentral describes it as "bacterial LSU rRNA". The stretch from base 302 to 812 matches the Rfam family "Bacterial large subunit ribosomal RNA", at positions 1 to 526 of the family's 2925-position model. The record is from RNAcentral. Lineage: Bacteria; Bacillati; Bacillota; Bacilli; Lactobacillales; Lactobacillaceae.